RNAcentral lists this ribosomal RNA (843 nucleotides) under Cadophora sp. RNAcentral describes it as "partial large subunit ribosomal RNA". It matches the Rfam family "Eukaryotic large subunit ribosomal RNA", at positions 75 to 935 of the family's 3401-position model. Lineage: Eukaryota; Fungi; Ascomycota; Leotiomycetes; Helotiales; Ploettnerulaceae. The record is from RNAcentral.
UUACCUCAGUAACGGCGAGUGAAGCGGUAACAGCUCAAAUUUGAAAGCUAGCUCUUUUAGGGUUCGCAUUGUAAUUUGUAGAAGAUGCUUCGGGUGUGGCCCCGGUCUAAGUUCCUUGGAACAGGACGUCAUAGAGGGUGAGAAUCCCGUAUGUGACUGGGUGCUUUCGCUCAUGUGAAGCUCUUUCGACGAGUCGAGUUGUUUGGGAAUGCAGCUCAAAAUGGGUGGUAAAUUUCAUCUAAAGCUAAAUAUUGGCCAGAGACCGAUAGCGCACAAGUAGAGUGAUCGAAAGAUGAAAAGCACUUUGGAAAGAGAGUUAAACAGUACGUGAAAUUGUUGAAAGGGAAGCGCUUGCAACCAGACUUGCGCGCUGAUGAUCAUCCGGGCUUCUGCCCGGUGCACUCGUCUGCGCUCAGGCCAGCAUCGGUUUCGGUGGUGGGAUAAAGGCCUUGGGAAUGUAGCUUCUUUCGGGGAGUGUUAUAGCCCUCGGUGCAAUGCCGCCUACCGGGACCGAGGACCGCGCUUCGGCUAGGAUGCUGGCGUAAUGGUUGUAAGCGACCCGUCUUGAAACACGGACCAAGGAGUCUAACAUCUAUGCGAGUGUUUGGGUGUCAAACCCAUACGCGUAAUGAAAGUGAACGGAGGUGAGAACCCUUAAGGGUGCAUCAUCGACCGAUCCUGAUGUCUUCGGAUGGAUUUGAGUAAGAGCAUAGCUGUUGGGACCCGAAAGAUGGUGAACUAUGCGUGAAUAGGGUGAAGCCAGAGGAAACUCUGGUGGAGGCUCGCAGCGGUUCUGACGUGCAAAUCGAUCGUCAAAUUUGCGUAUAGGGGCGAAAGACUAAU